Long non-coding RNA from Rhincodon typus (whale shark), 517 nucleotides. RefSeq lists it as uncharacterized. NCBI's taxonomy places the organism in Eukaryota, Metazoa, Chordata, Chondrichthyes, Orectolobiformes, Rhincodontidae. The record is from RefSeq and is a predicted model, not a curated record. The transcript has 5 exons.
CAACCACAUUGCUGUGGGUCUGGAGUCACAUGUAGGCCAGACCAGAUGGUCCACAAAAGCCGGCCUUUUUGGCUACAUGUUUGGUCACCUGCCCUCCUAUGUUGAGAGGAAUUAACUUCAUCAGACAGAUGUGAUUUAAUGGAAUAUAGUUUAAUUUACCUAACUGAAGAGGCAGCUUGUUUCAGACUACUUAUGCCUGCACACUUGGGGCGCGAGAUGGUGCCACAAUGCCUUACAUAUCUACUGGAGCAAGAAUGUGAGGCCUCAGAUCAACAUCAAAUCCAAAAGAUGACUGUGUUGGCUUGCGAGGCAGGCUCUCUCUCCUGGUCACUUCAGAAACCGGCAGCUUCUUAUUCUGCCCCAAGUCACCCAAGUUGACUGUCAAAUCACACCAGACCUCUCUCCAGACUGAAAGUCAGACAUGCUGCCAGCCACUUCUAAAGAUUGAGUUGGCAGAGUGGGAAUUUCUCUUGCUUCUGUCACCUCACCCAGGACAGAAACUCAGGGCCACGAUGCU